RNAcentral lists this ribosomal RNA (150 nucleotides) under uncultured rumen archaeon. RNAcentral describes it as "partial 16S ribosomal RNA". The record is from RNAcentral.
AAAAUUCUAAUAUAUGCUCCGAUAUUCACUAGUGAUUUCUGGUUGAUCCCGGCGGAGGCCGAGGCCUUCUACCGGGAGGCUCUGCGCAAAUAUCCCAAUAACGAGGUGCUGCUGAACUGCCUGCUGAUGGUGAUCCCCAACGAGCGAGAC